RNAcentral lists this ribosomal RNA (24 nucleotides) under Amanita curtipes. RNAcentral's name for it is "partial 28S ribosomal RNA". The record is from RNAcentral. Lineage: Eukaryota; Fungi; Basidiomycota; Agaricomycetes; Agaricales; Amanitaceae.
AGGUAGGACUACCCGCUGAACUUA